CUCGGUGACGAUAGUGCAGGGGAAACACCCGAUCCCAUUCCGAACUCGGUAGUUAAGCCCUGUUGCGCCGAUGGUACUGCCUUGGAGACGAGGUGGGAGAGUAGGAAGUCGCCGGGG
This 117-nucleotide ribosomal RNA is filed under the name Fidelibacterota bacterium. The record is from RNAcentral. RNAcentral also lists the same sequence under 1 other name. Lineage: Bacteria; Pseudomonadati; Fidelibacterota.